AGACGGAUGAUGGAACUUCUACUUGGAGUUGUGGUUGCUCAAAAGAAGCGUUGCUACUCUCAAGAUGCAGGAUAACCAUGUUUAGUGUGUGAGAUGGAUCACUAUAGAUCACUUUACCUAGUGAGAUGGUCAACGUUCUUAUGUUGAACAAAGAAAGCAAAGGCAUCAAAACAAGCUUUUAAGCUAAAGUUUUUAGAUUGAUUAAUCGUUAAACUGAAAAAUAAUCUGAUUACAAGAUAUUAAGAAACAGCAUGUACCUAAUGUUUAAGAAAGCCCU
RNAcentral lists this long non-coding RNA (277 nucleotides) under Brassica napus (rape). RNAcentral describes it as "long non-coding RNA (BNAP_LNC023123)". The record is from RNAcentral. Lineage: Eukaryota; Viridiplantae; Streptophyta; Magnoliopsida; Brassicales; Brassicaceae.